This 505-nucleotide ribosomal RNA is filed under the name uncultured bacterium. RNAcentral's name for it is "bacterial SSU rRNA". It matches the Rfam family "Bacterial small subunit ribosomal RNA", at positions 28 to 531 of the family's 1533-position model. The record is from RNAcentral.
GAUGAACGCUGGCGGCGUGCCUAACACAUGCAAGUCGAGCGUGAACCCUGCGAAUGAAACUUCGGUCGAUUUUGCAGGGGGAAAGCGGCGGACGGGUGAGUAACGCGUAGGUAACCUGCCCCAUACUGAGGGAUAGCCUCGGGAAACCGGGAUUAAUACCUCAUAACACCGUAUAUUCGCAUGGAUGUGCGGUCAAAGAUUUAUCGGUAUGGGGAUGGGCCUGCGUCUGAUUAGCUGGUUGGUGGGGUAACGGCCUACCAAGGCGACGAUCAGUAGCCGACCUGAGAGGGUGAUCGGCCACAUUGGAACUGAGACACGGUCCAAACUCCUACGGGAGGCAGCAGUGGGGAAUAUUGCACAAUGGGCGAAAGCCUGAUGCAGCAACGCCGCGUGAGCGAAGAAGGCCUUUGGGUCGUAAAGCUCUGUCGGGUAGGAAGAUAAUGACGGUACUACCCGAGGAAGCCCCGGCUAACUACGUGCCAGCAGCCGCGGUAAAAUGCGUACU